CGUAGGGAGCAAGCGUUGUCCGGAUUUACUGGGCGUAAAGCGCGCGUAGGCGGCUCGUCAAGUCCGGCCUGAAAGCCCCCGGCUCAACCGGGGAGGGUGGCUGGAAACUGGCGGGCUUGAGGGCGGAGAGAGGAGGGUGGAAUUCCUGGUGUAGCGGUGAAAUGCGUAGAGAUCAGGAGGAACACCCGUGGCGAAGGCGGCCCUCUGGCUCGACCCUGACGCUGAGGGGCGAAAGCGUGGGGAGCGAACGGGAUUAGAUACCCCGGUAGUCCACGCCGUAAACGAUGGUCACUAGGUGUGUGCGGUAUCGACCCCGCACGUGCCGGCGCUAACGCAUUAAGUGACCCGCCUGGGGAGUACGGCCGCAAGGUUG
This 373-nucleotide ribosomal RNA is filed under the name uncultured organism. Its description in RNAcentral is "bacterial SSU rRNA". It matches the Rfam family "Bacterial small subunit ribosomal RNA", at positions 526 to 896 of the family's 1533-position model. The record is from RNAcentral.